GAUGAACGCUGGCGGCGUGCCUAAUACAUGCAAGUCGAGCGAACGGACGAGAAGCUUGCUUCUCUGAUGUUAGCGGCGGACGGGUGAGUAACACGUGGAUAACCUACCUAUAAGACUGGGAUAACUUCGGGAAACCGGAGCUAAUACCGGAUAAUAUUUUGAACCGCAUGGUUCAAAAGUGAAAGACGGUCUUGCUGUCACUUAUAGAUGGAUCCGCGCUGCAUUAGCUAGUUGGUAAGGUAACGGCUUACCAAGGCAACGAUGCAUAGCCGACCUGAGAGGGGGAUGGCCCCACCGGGACGUGGAGACCGGCCCAGGCCCCUAGGGGGGGCGCAGGAGGGGAUUUUGCGCAAUGGGGGGAAACCUUGCGGAGCAACGCCGCGUGAGUGAUGAAGGUCUUCGGAUCGUAAAACUCUGUUAUUAGGGAAGAACAUAUGUGUAAGUAACUGUGCACAUCAUGACGGUACCUAAUCAGAAAGCCACGGCUAACUACGUG
This 496-nucleotide ribosomal RNA is filed under the name uncultured bacterium. RNAcentral describes it as "partial 16S ribosomal RNA". It matches the Rfam family "Bacterial small subunit ribosomal RNA", at positions 28 to 507 of the family's 1533-position model. The record is from RNAcentral.